GUAGUCAUACGCUCGUCUCAAAGAUUAAGCCAUGCAUGUGUAAGUAUAAAUAUUUAACUUUGAAACUGCGAAUGGCUCAUUAUAUCAGUUAUAGUUUAUUUGAUGAAAAGUACUACUUGGAUAACCGUAGUAAUUCUAGAGCUAAUACAUGAUAAAAUCCUCGACUUUGAAGAGGUGUAUUUAUUAGAAUGAAACCAAUAGACUUCGGUCUGUUUGUGAGUAAUAAUAACUAAUCGUAUCGCAUGCUUAGGUAGCGAUAUGUCUUUCAAGUUUCUGCCCUAUCAGCUUUGGAUGGUAGUGUAUUGGACUACCAUGGCAGUAACGGGUAACGAAGAAUUUGGGUUCGAUUUCGGAGAGGGAGCCUGAGAGAUGGCUACCACAUCCAAGGAAGGCAGCAGGCGCGUAAAUUACCCAAUCCUGACAUAGGGAGGUAGUGACAAUAAAUCACAAUGCGGAACUAUUAGUUUUGCAAUUGGAUUGAGAACAAUGUACAAAUGUUAUCGAUAAACAAUUGGAGGGCAAGUCUGGUGCCAGCAGCCG
Molecule: ribosomal RNA, 540 nt
Filed under: Blastocystis sp. subtype 4
Lineage: Eukaryota; Bigyra; Opalinata; Blastocystidae
Description: SSU rRNA
Rfam family: Eukaryotic small subunit ribosomal RNA
Source: RNAcentral